RNAcentral lists this ribosomal RNA (460 nucleotides) under uncultured bacterium. RNAcentral's name for it is "partial 16S ribosomal RNA". It matches the Rfam family "Bacterial small subunit ribosomal RNA", at positions 338 to 795 of the family's 1533-position model. The record is from RNAcentral.
CCUACGGGUGGCAGCAGUGAGGAAUAUUGGUCAAUGGCCGCAAGCCUGAACCAGCCAAGUCGCGUGCGGGAUGACGGUCCUACGGAUUGUAAACCUCUUUUAUCCGGGAACAACGCGCCUCACGUGUAGCGCUUUGCGAGUACCGUAUGAAAAAGGACCGGCUAACUCCGUGCCAGCAGCCGCGGUAAUACGGAGGAUCCGUGCGUUAUCCGGAUUUAUUGGGUUUAAAGGGAGCGUAGGCGGGAUGUCAAGCGUGCGGGGAAAUGUCCGGGGUCAACCCGGGCCUGGCGUCGGGAACUGGCGUGGUUGAGUAAGCGGAAAGCAGGCGGAAUUCGUGGUGUAGCGGUGAAAUGCAUAGAUAUCACGAAGAACCCCGAUUGCGAAGGCAGCUUGCUGGAGCUGAACUGACGCUGAUGCACGAAAGCGAGGGUAUCGAACAGGAUUAGAUACCCUGGUAGUC